Molecule: small RNA, 29 nt
Filed under: Bombyx mori (domestic silkworm)
Lineage: Eukaryota; Metazoa; Arthropoda; Insecta; Lepidoptera; Bombycidae
Description: ovarian small RNA-8853
Source: RNAcentral
UGGUUAUACUCGCGCCGGGAGGAGGCCCC